AGUGAACGCUGGCGGUAGGCCUAACACAUGCAAGUCGAACGGGAGCACAGUGAGAGGUUGCGCUUAGGUGUGUCGAGUGGCGGACGGGGGAGUUAGACUCCGGAAUCUACUUUUUCGUGGGGGCUAACGUAGGGAAACUUACGCUAAUACCGCAUACGACCUACGUGUGAAAGCAGGCGAUCUUCGGACCUUUCGCUAUUGAAUGAGCCGAUGUCGGAUUAGCUCGUUGGCGGGGUAAAGGGCUACCAAGGCGACGAUGCGUAUCGGGUCUGAGAGGAUGAUCAGACAGACUGGAAGUGAGGAAGGGUAGAGACUCCGACGGGGGGCCGCAGUCGGGAAUAUUGGACAAGGCGGGAGAGCGUGAUACAGGAAUAUCGGGUGGGGGAAGAAGGAGUUCGGGUGGGAAAGCCGUGUUGUUGGGAAAGAAAAGAAGCAGGUUAAUACCGGGCUGUAAUGACAGUACCGAAAGAAUAAGCACCGGCUAACUUCGUG
Molecule: ribosomal RNA, 492 nt
Filed under: uncultured bacterium
Lineage: Bacteria
Description: partial 16S ribosomal RNA
Rfam family: Bacterial small subunit ribosomal RNA
Source: RNAcentral